Molecule: long non-coding RNA, 602 nt
Filed under: Arachis ipaensis
Lineage: Eukaryota; Viridiplantae; Streptophyta; Magnoliopsida; Fabales; Fabaceae
Description: long non-coding RNA (AIPA_LNC002368)
Source: RNAcentral
CAGCGUGGACCUUGGACUUUGAGUCUCACUUUACUACUACUACUUCCUGAGCAAGUCCAAUUAUAUAUAGCACUAAUGAAAGUGUGAGAAUAAAAUCGGAGUAGCUGGAGUAGCAAGUCCUAUAUGUCCUAUCAUUGAUAAAAUAAUCAUACAGUAAACAGACUCGUUAGCAUUAGAUUAAGUUGUUAUUUUAUCUUUAUUGCUAUUUCCAAGGGUGUUUAUUCUUAGUUUGAUGUGGAUUGUGAAAAGGACAAAAGCAACGUGAUGAGAGAGAGAAGAGGGAAUAAUGGGGUGUCACGGGGAAACCCCAAAUGCUACCAGCUGCAAUUACAAGAUUGACCUUGAGAUCGGUGAAGAACAUUAGUAGUAUUUCUUGUACUAGCAGCGGAAUUUAGGACGGUGAAGAAUGGUUGUAAGGUGAGGAGUUGAAUUGUUUGACUUUGGAGAAGAGUUUGUGUGGCGCGCAAGAAUCGGGGACAGGAGAGUCACCCCCGGAUGCAGCGCAUGGGGAUUAGGGUCAAUUUUAUUACACUAUAAUUGUUUAUUCAUUUCAGGUUAUUAGGUUAAAAUUUUGAACAAAGGAAAUGGAAAUUUCAGCCUGC